This is a long non-coding RNA of Salvia splendens (bonfire salvia), 545 nucleotides long. RefSeq lists it as uncharacterized. The record is from RefSeq and is a predicted model, not a curated record. NCBI's taxonomy places the organism in Eukaryota, Viridiplantae, Streptophyta, Magnoliopsida, Lamiales, Lamiaceae. The transcript has 2 exons.
CUAUGGGCAGCCCACUAGAUGUUGCCUCAUUUGGUGGAGACCCCAUGAACAAAUAUGGUCACAAUAUUUCCUUUCCCAACUAUAUAUACAUGUCACAAACACACAUAUUUCUAUCCAUGCAUAAUCACCAACAUCCAUUUUCAACAAACUAGGCUCAUAUAUCAAAUCAACUUGCAUUGCUCAGAUGGGUAAGAUGAUGAGGAUGAUUUUAUUGGUAAUUGUGUUGGUGGCGAUGAUGAGUGGCUGCCACAAGGUGGAAGGUGGCAGGGUGGCGGUGGCGGAGCAGCGGAAGCUGGCGGCGGCGGAGGAUGAAGGAAUGGAUAGUGGUUUGCAGGAUAACCAUCAUGCUUACUCCAUACCAGACUUCAACCGGCAAGGAGGAAGAGCUCCCACCAAAUACUGAUCACUUAUAUAUAAUAUUGCUCUUUCUCUCUCAUAUAUAUAUACAUAUAUAAAUGUGUCUGUGUGUGUGUGUUUGUGUGGCAAUAAGGUGCUCAAGAGAUCCAUCCAUCUGUUGUAUAAAAUGUAACGAAGGUUUGGUGUGA